GGAGGGAUACCGAAGUGGUCAAACGGGGCGGACUGUAAAUCCGUUGGCUUCGCCUUCGAAGGUUCAAAUCCUUCUCCCUCCACCA
This 85-nucleotide transfer RNA is filed under the name Effusibacillus dendaii. Its description in RNAcentral is "Effusibacillus sp. skT53 tRNA-Tyr". It matches the Rfam family "tRNA". From Rfam's summary of the family: Transfer RNA (tRNA) molecules are approximately 80 nucleotides in length. The record is from RNAcentral. Lineage: Bacteria; Bacillati; Bacillota; Bacilli; Caryophanales; Alicyclobacillaceae.